GACGAACGCUGGCGGCGUGGAUUAGGCAUGCAAGUCGAACGGUAUCAUCCUUUCGGGGGUGAGAGAGUGGCGAACUGGUGAGUAACACGUAGGUUAUCUACCCUCAAGACGGGGACAACCCAGGGAAACUUGGGCUAAUACCGGAUGUGAGCAACUUUUAGUUGUUUGAAAGGUGGCGUAAGCUGUCGCUUGGGGAUGAGCCUGCGUCCUAUUAGUUAGUUGGUGAGGUAACGGCUCACCUAGGCAAUGAUAGGUAGGCGGCCUUAACGGGUGGUCGCCCACACUGGGAUUGAGAUACGGCCCAGACUCCUACGGGAGGCAGCAGUCGAGAAUAGUCUACAAUGGUCGGAAGACUGAUAGUGCGACGCCGCGUGAACGAUGAAUCCCUUCGGGUGUAAAGUUCUUUUAUAUGUGAGCAGUGCUUCUUAUAUUAACAGUAUGGGGAGAGAGAUAUUAGCAUAUGAAUAAGCAACGGCUAACUCCGUGCCAGCAGCCGCGGUAAACUCG
Molecule: ribosomal RNA, 507 nt
Filed under: uncultured bacterium
Lineage: Bacteria
Description: bacterial SSU rRNA
Rfam family: Bacterial small subunit ribosomal RNA
Source: RNAcentral